RNAcentral lists this long non-coding RNA (1634 nucleotides) under Nicotiana benthamiana. RNAcentral describes it as "long non-coding RNA (NBEN_LNC017986)". Lineage: Eukaryota; Viridiplantae; Streptophyta; Magnoliopsida; Solanales; Solanaceae. The record is from RNAcentral.
CAAUACUUUGCCCUCGCCCAUUUCUCCUCGCUUCCGAUCUCUCUGCGCCGUCACAAACUCAUUUCGACAUGGAGAACUCACGCCGUCAGUCUCUUCUUCCAAGCUUCCUCUACACUCCAUCUUCGUUUUCUUCUUUCACUCCCAAAACCUUUGCUGUUCCCGAGAACACCACCAGUGUGUUGCCUGCUGCACAGCCGUUGUCCACCAACAAGAGCUUCGUGAUUCCUGCACCUAGCGAACCUGGAAAGAUCGACAUGUACUCACCGCAAUUCUACGCUGCCUGUACCUUCGGUGGUAUCCUCAGCUGUGGUCUCACUCACAUGGCUGUCACUCCUCUUGAUCUCGUCAAAUGUAACAUGCAGGUCUCGAUCCAAUUUCAUUUACGCUUUGCUUUUCAGAUCUGUCCAUUUCUGACGCGAUCGUUGACUUCUCAACUCUUUUAAACAUUAUUAUAUGCUCCUUUUGUGUGUGUGUGUGUAGAUCCGAUCUACACUGUUCUGGCUUGAAUAUUAUUGCGCAUGUUCUAGAUCUAAAUUUUUAACGUGACUAGCAGGACCGAUUUUAUUGGCAAAAGUGUUGAUGUGGUGAUUUCUCUGUAUGGAGGAGGAGGCGUUAUUAUUUUGUCUAUAGAUUUAAUUGUAUUAUUAUUUCAGAUUUUAGUCUAUCAUGUGUGUAGUAGUUGAUUUUAAAUGUGAAAUGUUCCUCUAUAUGUUGCACAGCGAGGAAGCAAGGCGGCCUUUUCAUUUAAUUUUGAUUUGUGUUAUCUUUAGAUAUAUGGAAAGGGGAAGGAGUGUGCUAUUCAGACUUGGUUGUUUCCCAUUUCAUCCUUCACAUGUCACUUUUGCUCAUUUUGAUUGAGCAAUUUGUCAACACGAGAAUGCAUUGGACUCUCAUGCUAUUAUAGUCUUAGUCUCAGUGCUUUUUAACCCUGAACCUUGCUAAACUAUCCUACUCAGUCACGGCGUGGUAUUAUUGCUUAACAGUCUUCUCUGCAGCAUUAGCUAAAGGUUUUCAAGUAGAUUGAGGAAAUGACAUUUGAAAAUUUGGAUAACUUUUUCUUAGAUUUGUGGUUGAAGAGCUUCAUUUUUACAUGUUUAGACAUUGUGCUCGUAAGGGUCCUAGAUCUUUUACUGUACUGACUUUCCUUCCCAAUGGCAUAGUUUCUCAUUUGCUAGCUUCCCUUUUUACUUUUAUUAACUAUGGGAUGAUUGUCUUCAUGUGUGAAACUAUUCCUUUUGUAAUUAAAUUGUUUCUAUUUUCUUACCGAGCAUUAGUAAUGAAGCAUCUAAACUGACUGAAAUUUCAUAAAUUCCUAGAUUGACCCCGCGAAAUACAAGAGCAUAUCAUCUGGAUUUGGAGUGCUGCUUAAGGAGCAAGGUGCUAAGGGCUUCUUCAGGGGAUGGGUUCCUACUCUUUUGGGUUACAGUGCUCAGGGUGCAUGCAAGUUUGGAUUCUAUGAAUUCUUCAAGAAGUACUACUCUGACCUUGCUGGAGCAGAAAAUGCUGCUAAAUACAAGACUCUGAUAUACCUUGCUGGUUCUGCAUCUGCGGAAGUGAUCGCAGACAUUGCUCUUUGCCCAUUUGAAGCUGUAAAAGUUCGUGUUCAGACACAACCUGGUUUUGCUAGGGGAUUG